GACGAACGCUGGCGGCGUGCUUAACGCAUGCAAGUCGAACGGAAAGGCCCUGCUUUUGUGGGGUGCUCGAGUGGCGAACGGGUGAGUAACACGUGAGUAACCUGCCCUUGACUUUGGGAUAACUUCAGGAAACUGGGGCUAAUACCGGAUAGGAGCUCCUGCUGCAUGGUGGGGGUUGGAAAGUUUCGGCGGUUGGGGAUGGACUCGCGGCUUAUCAGCUUGUUGGUGGGGUAGUGGCUUACCAAGGCUUUGACGGGUAGCCGGCCUGAGAGGGUGACCGGCCACAUUGGGACUGAGAUACGGCCCAGACUCCUACGGGAGGCAGCAGUGGAGAAUAUUGCACAAUGGGCGGAAGCCUGAUGCAGCAACGCCGCGUGCGGGAUGACGGCCUUCGGGUUGUAAACCGCUUUCGCCUGUGACGAAGCGUGAGUGACGGUAAUGGGUAAAGAAGCACCGGCUAACUACGUG
This 468-nucleotide ribosomal RNA is filed under the name uncultured bacterium. RNAcentral's name for it is "partial 16S ribosomal RNA". It matches the Rfam family "Bacterial small subunit ribosomal RNA", at positions 28 to 507 of the family's 1533-position model. The record is from RNAcentral.